Molecule: RNA transcript, 934 nt
Organism: Conger conger (European conger)
Lineage: Eukaryota; Metazoa; Chordata; Actinopteri; Anguilliformes; Congridae
Gene name: serine/threonine-protein kinase pim-2-like
Exons: 6
Source: RefSeq, a predicted model, not a curated record
GCACCCUAGGAAGAAAUUGUCCAAGCCCAAGGAAGUCGGACUAUUUGAAAUGGUUAACAAACUAUCAGGUCAUCCCAACAUCUUGAAACUGUACAACUGGUUCGAUAGACCUGCGUCUUAUGUAAUGGCAAUGGAGCGCCCCAACCCCUGCAAGGAUCUGUUCACAUACUGCCAGGAUCAGGGGGGCGUCCUGGAUGAGGACGAGGCGCGCAAUGUUACCAGUCAGCUGCUGGGCGCGCUGCAGCACUGUGAAGACCAAGGAGUGGUGCACCGGGACGUGAAGCCCGAGAACAUCUUGAUCCAGACGGACACCAAGGAAAUCAAACUGAUCGACUUCGGGUGUGGAGACCCGCUGAAGAACACCGCCUACACUGACUUCUCUGGGACCCCCGAAUACUUGCCAAUUGAGUGGUUCCAGAAAGAGAAGUUCCUUGCAGGCCCUGGGACUGUGUGGUCAGUGGGCGUGACCCUGUAUAACCUCGUUUGCGGCGGCGAUCCCUUCACUUCGUACACCAGCAAGGGAAUGCGACAUGUGGAGAUCAGUGCCGGGCUGUCACCAGAAAUCAAGGACUUCAUUUGCUGUUGCCUGAGGCCCCAGGCAAGAGACCGACCCACCCUGGAGCAGCUGCAACUCCACCCCUGGAUCCUGAAACACUUCUAAUACCCAAAAAGACUCGACAAGGCCCCCCGAAUACUUGCCAACUGAGUGUUUCCAGAAAGAGGACCAGCCCACCCUGGAGGAGAUGCAGCUCCACGCCUGGAUCCAGCAGGCCUGAUAGACACUGGAGUGUGGGGAUGUACCCCACUGACUGCCGGAAUAAUGGCAAUGAGACAGAGAAACAAAUGGCCCAUUGAGGAGAAAAUUAUUUAGAGAAUGGCGAUAAAUGGAGAUAUAGAAUGGAGAUAUACACCAGUGAGCCAAAAAUUGACAAUU